Molecule: ribosomal RNA, 556 nt
Filed under: Comispira candida
Lineage: Eukaryota; Metazoa; Mollusca; Gastropoda; Neogastropoda; Cochlespiridae
Description: partial small subunit ribosomal RNA
Source: RNAcentral
GUUACACCAAGAAAUUAAGUCAUAUACCUACGGUAAAAAGGCAGUUAUACUAAUCGUUUAAAGCUUAACAAUGGUUUAUACAAAAGUAAAAUUUGAACAUAAACAUAAAAUCUAAAAAUAACUUAUUUUGUUGAACCUGCGAUAGCCCUGAGGGAAACUGGGAUUAGAUACCCCACUAUUCUGGGUUGUAAAUUGAUAAAAAUCUACCGGAGUACUACGAAUACUAUAAAAUUUAAAACUCAAAGGGCUUGGCGGUGUUUUAGACCGCUCAGGGGAACCUGUCUCGUAAUCGACAAUCCACGUCAAACCUAACCUCCUUUUGCCACAGCUUGUAUACCGUCGUCGUCAGGUAACUUUUAAAAAGCCAGAAGUUAGCCACAAAACACUAUAAUUUUAAACGUCAGAUCAAGGUGCAGCCUAUGAGGGGGCGUAGAUGGGUUACAUUUAUCCAAUUAUAAUUACGAAAAAUCAUAAUAACAAAUGAUCAAGAAGGCGGACUUGAAAGUAAAUCAAAUUAUAUAAAUAAUUUGAAUAAGGCUCUGAAACGUGCACACAU